GCUUACAGGGUGCUUACUGUUUGCCAGGCACCAUGCUAAGUGCAACACAUGAUUUGCCCCACUGAAUACAGACAUUAACUCCGUGGGGGGAAAGUGCUAUUCAGACAGGCGGCCCAGGAAAGUGGCCAAGGUCACACAGCUAACCAGAGGCUCCCGUGACUUUAAAGGACUCUGUUCGUCCAGAUUGGUAGCUCCUAUUUUGACUGCUUAUAGUCCGUGACGCAAUACAGAUAUUAAUCUUAUUUUUUUAUGAUCAGAGUGGAGGAAAACAAAUUCAUUAAAAAACCAUCUAGAAAUGUGAAACUUCCUCAUAGUCACCCAAGAUAAUGACUGGUAAACAGAUUCUGAAAUUGCUGUAUAUCCAGUGCACAGUUUAUGCUCCAGAAACGUUUUGGUUAUAACUAUGGAAAGAGCCCAGAUGUCCAUCUACAGACGAGUGGAUAAAGAAGAUGUGUUGUAUAUAUACAACGGACUACUACUAAGCCAUCAAAAAAAUGAAAUUUUGCCAUUUGCAAUGACAUGGAUGAAACAAGUGGAUAUUAUGCUAAGUGAAAUAAGUCAAUCAGAGAAAGACAAUUAUC
This is a long non-coding RNA of Canis lupus familiaris (dog), 581 nucleotides long. RefSeq lists it as uncharacterized. The record is from RefSeq and is a predicted model, not a curated record. Lineage: Eukaryota; Metazoa; Chordata; Mammalia; Carnivora; Canidae. The transcript has 3 exons.